CUAGUAGCGCCGCUAUUGUAUUCGCUACUUUUUCCGAGUGGGGAUGCCAUUCCUUCCGCUGGAGCAGCGAAGGGCUGUCUGUCUGUAGCCAAAAUGGGAAUGGGUUCGCAUGAAUGACGCCGUCCAGCGUCUAUUCCUUCUCCUCGGCCGAUUGUUCCUCGGGGGCUGGCCAUUCGCAGACCACCGAAUGGGGUCACUUGAGCCCCGCAUAAAAGACCAUCCUGCGCAAGGGGAAAGUGCUCCGUCUACCGCUAACUGUCCACGAGAUCAACUUACCAUGCGCUCCGCAAUGCAAAUCACUGCCGUGCUGCUCGUCAGCAGCAUCACUUUCGUCCUGGGUCAGCAAGGUUACGGUGGCUACGGCGGGGCUGGAGGGUGCUCAGUUGGGUGGCGCUGGGGGCUACGGCGGCGGAGCGCAACUCAGUGCUGCUGGACUCGGAGCCGGAGGAGGCUACGGCGGCGCAGCUGGAGGUUACGGCGGCGCAUCUGGAGGUUACGGCGGCGAAGCUGGAGGUUACGGCAGUGCUGCUGGUGGACAGCCAUCUUUUGGCGGUGCCGGACAGUCUCCUUACAGCGGUGCAUUUGAUUUCACUAACAACGUCAACCAUGCUGAUAUGGAGCCGGUCAAGCCGCAGGCGGUGGACAAGGCGCAACACAAGCAUAUGGAGCUGGCGCUGGCGCCGGUCUGGGCGCUCAGUACGGAGGCGCUGGGGCUGCUGGAAGCUACGCCGCACCCUCUUCCUUGGGAGCUCAAGGAGGCUACGCAGGAGCCGCUAGCGCAAGUUAUGCUGGGCUAGGAUCUCAGGGUGGCUACGACGGAGGUCUCGGCGGCAGGGGCGGUGCUGCUCUGGUUUCAGGGGCUGGAGGAGGCUAUGGCGGAGCUGGUCUCGCAGGCCUUGGUGCCGCUGGAGCUGGUGGAUACGGUGGUUCUCAAGGCGGUUAUUCUGGUGCUGGAUUUGGACAAGGCGGUUUUGGAGGCCAAGCUGCUUUUGGACAAGGUGGAAGUUACGGUCAGGGUGGUGCACAAGGAGGCUACUAGACACGUAGUCAUCAGCCGUCCACGCCGAUGACAUAAGUUGUACAAAUGUUGUAAAUAGUUGUGUGCGUGUGGAAUUUUUUACGUCGUCAUGAUGGCCACGUACGAGGGUCAAGCGCGAGAAAAACGCAUUUUGUUAGAAUUGAACGUGCGGGAGACACUGAUGUGGUCCACAAGACAAUUUGUAAUAAGAUUUACGGACUCACCAGAUGGAAAAUACACAACUGCAGCGGUAAGGAGACGUGACUACAAUGCACACAGGGCUCCGCCUAUCACAUUGUUUUGAUUGUAAAAUUGUUAAAAGAACCUUAGGAAGAAAUAUUAAUUUGCCAGGCCAAGAUUUUUCCGCCCUGUUCAAUAUGUAUAGGCUUGUGAUUUCCUUACAGAACAAACGCUCCUAACGUGUAUUUUACUUAGUGCAUCUCAAGAACCAGUAUUAUUUCAUUUUUCUCGUUUGCUUGCACAUUUUUCGAAUUUCCAAAUCAAGAGAAACUAAACUUGAACAAGGUAUCAGAUCAUAACCUGCAGUAUCUAAUCCAAGCAUUGCAGUAUCCAAGGAUAACCUGUAAGGUGCCAAACGUAAGCAGUGAAGACCCCUCGAUUCCGGUCUGUGAUCGCACAGAGAAAUACAGGUAUAAUACGCCAAGGAAAUAAAUAUACAAUAUUUAAAAAAAAACGUCAAGGAAAUAGACAUACAAUAUUAAAAAAAAACAAAAAAAAAACACGUAAUAGGUGAUGUCCUGGUUAUGUGAAAAUGCAUUACACUGUAGUUCCGGUACAUGCUAUGCAGCAUGUCUUCAAACAAAUAAAAUGUAUCA
Molecule: RNA transcript, 1854 nt
Organism: Ornithodoros turicata
Lineage: Eukaryota; Metazoa; Arthropoda; Arachnida; Ixodida; Argasidae
Exons: 5
Source: RefSeq, a predicted model, not a curated record